GGUCAAGUUAAAAAGAGCACUAGGAGAAUGCCUAGGCACCAAGAGGCGAAGAAGGACGUGACAAGCUGCGAAAAGCUGAGGUUAGCUGCAAAUAAGCCAAGCCUCAGAUAUCCGAAUGGGGAAACCCACCUCAAAAGAGGAAUCCUAUAGCCAAUAAAUAACUAUAGGAAGCGAACCAGGUGAACUGAAACAUCUAAGUAACCUGAGGAAGAGAAAGAAAACUCGAUUCCCAAAGUAGCGGCGAGCGAACAGGGAAGAGCCCAAACGUGUAAAAAGAGAAAAUAGCCAGUCGAAUCAUCUGGGAAGACGAACCAAAGAAGGUAACAGUCCCGUAGACGAAGGCGAAGAUAUCCGACACAAAAGAGUACCACGGNACACGAGAAAUUCAGUGGGAAUACAGGGGGACCACCCCCUAAGGCUAAAUACUACUUGGUGACCGAUAGCGAACAAGUACCGUGAGGGAAAGGUGAAAAGAACCCCGGGAGGGGAGUGAAAUAGAAUCUGAAACCUAGUGUUUACAAGCAGCGAAAGUGGCAAAAGCCACGAUCGUGUACUUUUUGUAGAACGGGCCAGCGAGUUANGAUUACAAGCAAGGUUAAACAUUAAAGAUGUGGAGCCGAAGCGAAAGCGAGUCUAAAGAGGGCAAAAGUUAGUAGUCGUAGACCCGAAACCGUGUGAUCUAUCCAUGAGC
This 691-nucleotide ribosomal RNA is filed under the name Klebsiella pneumoniae. RNAcentral describes it as "partial 23S ribosomal RNA". It matches the Rfam family "Bacterial large subunit ribosomal RNA", at positions 1 to 741 of the family's 2925-position model. The record is from RNAcentral. Lineage: Bacteria; Pseudomonadati; Pseudomonadota; Gammaproteobacteria; Enterobacterales; Enterobacteriaceae.